This 550-nucleotide ribosomal RNA is filed under the name uncultured Geobacteraceae bacterium. RNAcentral's name for it is "bacterial SSU rRNA". It matches the Rfam family "Bacterial small subunit ribosomal RNA", at positions 1 to 526 of the family's 1533-position model. Lineage: Bacteria; Pseudomonadati; Thermodesulfobacteriota; Desulfuromonadia; Geobacterales; Geobacteraceae. The record is from RNAcentral.
RKKCGCCCUUAGAGUUUGAUCCUGGCUCAGAACGAACGCUGGCGGCGUGCUUAACACAUGCAAGUCGAACGUGAUCCAGAGCUUGCUCUGGUGAAAGUGGCGCACGGGUGAGUAACGCGUGGAUAACCUGCCCUGGUAUCUGGGAUAACAUCUCGAAAGGGGUGCUAAUACCGGGUAAGCCUACGGGAUCUUCGGAUUCUGCAGGAAAAGGAGGCCUCUAUUUAUAAGCUUCCGUAUCAUGAUGGGUCCGCGUACCAUUAGCUAGUUGGUGGGGUAAUGGCCUACCAAGGCGACGAUGGUUAGCUGGUCUGAGAGGAUGAUCAGCCACACUGGAACUGAGACACGGUCCAGACUCCUACGGGAGGCAGCAGUGGGGAAUUUUGCGCAAUGGGGGAAACCCUGACGCAGCAACGCCGCGUGAGUGAUGAAGGCUUUCGGGUCGUAAAGCUCUGUCAGAGGGGAAGAAAUGAAACGUGCUAAUAUCACGUUUUCUUGACGGUACCCUCAAAGGAAGCACCGGCUAACUCCGUGCCAGCAGCCGCGGUAAUAC